GUACUGAUGAAGAGUCCCAAACCAGGACGAAACAGCUGUUCAGUAC
RNAcentral lists this non-coding RNA (46 nucleotides) under Trichobilharzia regenti. Lineage: Eukaryota; Metazoa; Platyhelminthes; Trematoda; Strigeidida; Schistosomatidae. The record is from RNAcentral.